UGUGGGACUAGGUACUGUGGGACUAGGUACUGUGGGACUAGAUACUGUGGUAUGAGAUACUGUGUUAGCACUGGAGAUACUGUGGGAUUAGAUACUGUGGGACUAGAUACCAUGGGACUAUAUACUGUGGGAAUAGAUAUCAUUUAAAAAAAAAUGUUUACCUUUAUUUAACUAGGUUAAGAACAAAUUCUUAUUUUCAAUAACGGCCUAGGAACAGUGGGUUAACUGCCUGUUCAGGGGCAGAACGACAGAUUUGUACCUUGUCAGCUCGGGGGUUUGAACUUGCAACCUUCCGGUUACUAGUCCAACGCUCUAACCACUAGGCUACCCUGCCGCCCCAAUUGGACUAGGUACUGUGGGACUAGGUACUGUGGGAUUAGAUACUGUUGGACUCAUUACCAUGGGACUAGGUUCCAUGGGACUAGGUACUGUGGGACAUUACCAUGGGACUAGGUACUGUGGGACCAGAUACUGUGGGACCAGAUGCUGUGGGACUAGGUACUGUGGGACGUUACCAUGGGACUAGAUACUGUGGGACCAGAUACUGUGGGA
Long non-coding RNA from Oncorhynchus tshawytscha (Chinook salmon), 552 nucleotides. Lineage: Eukaryota; Metazoa; Chordata; Actinopteri; Salmoniformes; Salmonidae. The record is from Ensembl.